GCAGGAGGACGGGACGCUCCGGUCAGCGCCAGACGUCUCUCCUCCUCCUCCUCCUCCUCCUCCUCCGCGGGGCUGCGGUGUCGCUUCAUCCGAUUCUCGCGAUGCGGACGAGGGAGGCGUCGACCCGCCGAUAUCAACAGGGCAAGUGAGACUUCCACUUUAUGGUCCACCUUCUCGUUCCUGGCCUGGUAUUUAGAGAGAACCUGAAGGUCGAGAGAAAAAAACGCCAGCGACGGAAAGCUGGGAUGAAGAGAAAGAAAAAGACGAAGAAAAGGAGGAAGGCUACUUGUGCCACGUCUGACCUUCUGGCAUUUCUGUUUACGAGUCCUGAAGAAGACAAAAAACCUUUGGAGGGUCAACUUCCAAGUCGUGCGGGUUCCAUGGACCACCAAGGUUUGACAUCACUGCGAGCAGCUGGGCGACCCACGCACCUGAUGAUAUUUGCAGCGUCGCCCCCUCGCCGCCAUCUUGGAGCGGGCUCCGGUGUGCCCUGCCUCGCUGUUGGACUGCCGGCUCCGCCUCUCCACACCUUUAAAAGCCGUUUUAUUCAAUCAACCAAUCAAAAGUUGUUUAUAUAGCCCUUAAUCACAAGGAUAUCCCCUGUUCUGAACCUACAUUUACAUUAUAAAUAUGUCACUUGUCAAUUAGUAUACAUUUAUAUAAUUUAUUAAUAUACAUAAUAAUUCAGUUCAGUUCAGUUCAGUUUCAGUUUAUUUGGAACAUGCAUACGAUACAAUGUAAUGCAUCACACAUUUCCAGUUGUUUCAUUACAGCACGUCCGAAAAGGAGUAGGAAGAAGCAGAGCUUAUUUAAUCCUACCCCUUUUCAUACCGUAGCAAUUUUAUCCAAUUUCCUUGUUCUCUGUAACAUAACAGUGAACAAAUAAAUAAUAAAUAGAUAAUAUACCAUAGUAAGCAAACAAAUAUUAAAUACACAAAUAAUCUUUGUCUCAAUAAAAAAAAUACAUGAGCCAUUUUACUCAUUUGUGACAUUAUCUAAUCAAAAGGCCUUCAAAAGCAUUAAAAUACAAAUUUAAAAAAAUCUUACAUGUUUACUAUUUUUGUUUAGAAUAUUGAGAAAUUUGAGCAAAAAAGUUUUAAAAUUAUGAAUGCAAAAAGUGUUUUCAUGCCCUUCAAACACUUUUGAAAUGAAAUCGAAUGUUGCCCGAGAGCUAAAAAUACAUUUUUAUAAAUGGUUUUAGGCCAUCUCUGCGCUUACCAGCUGUGCGCAAAGGUCAUAAGUAAGCGGCCAUAAGAAGCCUUUAUAACCUCUAACCUUUUUUGAAAAAGUUGUAUUAUUAUUUUGAUACCAAAUGAUAUAUUGCGAGAAUCAGUUUGACUCACUUCAAGUAUCGGAUUCGAAUCAGAUCGUGAGUUGUUGUAAGAUUCCCAUCCCUAUGUCAAAUGGGUGCUGUCAAUUUUUUUGUAAUCACAUGGUUAUUACUAGCUAACCAUCCAUCCAUUUUCUACCGCUUAUUCCCUUCGGGGUUGCGGGGGGCGCUGGAGCCUAUCUCAGCUAUAAUCGGGUGGAAGGCGGGGUACACCCUGGACAAGUCGCCACCUCAUCGCAGGGCCAACACUGAUAGACAUUCACACUCACAUUCACACUCUAAGGCCAAUUUAGUGUUGCCAAUCAAACAUUAUUUAAUUUACUUAAAAAAAAGACUCCAAUAUUUGAACACUAAUGCAAUUUUAUUGUCAGAACGUUGUACAGUAUUUUAUUUUUAUUUUGAUUAGCUCAAAACUCGCUCAAAACAGUUUUAUCUAAAGUGCCGCCAGGUUGUGUUUUCGAAAUUUGCACACGAGCACAUCAGUUCGGAGUCUCCUCUUAAAUCUUCGCACUGACGUGUGCAUGGACUGUAGUGUACGUACAACCACCCCGGGAGGGACAAGCGGUAGAAAAUGGAGGGAUGGAGUACAGUGCAUGCGGAAAGUAUUCACAGCGCUUCACCUUUUCCACAAUUUGUUAUGUUCCAGCCUUAUUCCAAAAUGGAAUAAAUUCAUUUUUGUCCUCAAAAGUCUACACACAAUACUCCAAAUAAAUUGCGUGGUUAACCUGCGUAUACACAUGAAUAAUGUGAUCGUUUAUUGUGAUUAAUCACAUAGGUUCAUUUGUUGUUUUCCCUCGUAUAAUGCAAGGAUAGAGAGAGAUGCUUUGUAUUACUUUUUUUGGUAACACUUUAGUAUGGGGAACACAUAUUCACCAUUAUUUAGUUGCUUAUUAACAUGCAAAUUAGUAACAUAUUGAUUCUUAAUUAGUCAUUCUUAAGUAUUUAUUAAUGCCUUAUUAUGCAUGGCCUUAUUAUACUGAUUAACUAAGAGUCUUCUCUCAAUAACCUCAGAAUUAUUGCUUACUAGUAACCCUAACCCUUAUAUGUUCCCCUAGAGUCCAAAUAACUGUAAAUUAAGUAUUUGUUACUUUAAUAAGCAAAUAAUUAAUGGUGAAUAUGUUCCCCAUACUAAAGUGUGACCCUGUUUUUCUUUUUUUUUAAGUCCCGGUUCCAUGAAUCCUUUGUCAUAUUUUGCACAUUUUUACCAUCCUGUAUAAUCUAAUAAUAAAAUAAAAUAAUUCCCCCUUGGACAAAUGCUGUGAGUAAUAAGGUGAUUUGUAUGACACAUAGGGAGAAUGACUCACAAAGUGUGUGAGCAUGACUUUUCACUAACCAGCCUUGACAAGCUAAUUGGCUUUAAUACGGAACAUUACCAGAAGAGAAAUAUCCUUGAAUAUUGUCAGUUUCAUUAUGAAUACUUCUCCCUGAUAUGUUCCCCUCAUGCUCUUUGGAGUGACAGUGCCUUCCUGGUAAGUGAAGAGCAUAAUUUUGCCCGCUGUAAUGACACAGAACCAUUCAGCAGGCGUCUGAUAAUUGCCAGAUCUCGGCUGGAGGAAUAUUAGGCAGAAACUCUCACUCACCUUUCCGGCUUUUUCUUCCUAUUUCUUGCGGUGGGCAUGCUGUUUUGACCGACGUCCUCCAGAUCAGAGCAAAGCGUGUACGUUAUUCGAGCCGUGGGACACCUUAGAGCUUUUUUAAAAUGUGAAAAUUAGAAAUCCAACCCAAUCCAAUCCACUUUAUUUGUAUAGCACAUUUAAACGACAAAAAUGCUUCCAAAGUGCUGCACAACAAUAUUAAAAACAAUAUUCAAAUAUUAUCCUUAGCUCCACCAAAGACUGAAUAAAAAACAAAAAAUAAAUACAUAAAAAACCAAUAUAAAAAUAAAUUUGACACUAAAUUGGCCCUAGUGUGUGAAUGUGAGUGUGAAUGUUGUCUGUCUAUCUGUGUUGGCCCUGCAAUCAGGUGGUGACUUGUCCAGGGUGUACGCCGCCUUCCGCCCGAUUGUAGCUGAGAUAGGCUCCAGCGCCCCCUGCGACCCCGAAGGGAAUAAGCGGUAGAAAAUGGAUGGAUAGAUGGAUGAUUAAAAACGAUUUUAAAGGGUAAAACCAAUUAAAACCGUGAAUAGAAAUCAAAAAAAUUUAAAAACACAGAGGACAACAGAGGACAGAGGACCACACAACUCACGUAGUGUUCAAAGCCAAAGAAUAAAAGUGGGUCUUAAAGGGGAACAUUAUCACAAUUUCAGAAGGGUUAAAACCAUUAAAAAUCAGUUCCCAGUGGCUUAUUUUAUUUUUCGAAGUUUUUUUCAAAAUUUUACUCAUCACGCAAUAUCCCUAAAAAAAGCUUCAAAGUGCCUGAUUUUAACCAUCGUUAUAUACACCCGUCCAUUUUCCUGUGACGUCACAUAGUGAUGCCAAUACAAACAAACGUGGCGGUUAGAACGGCAAGGUAUAGCGGCAUUAGCUCGGAUUCAGACUCGGAUUUCAGCGGCUUAAGCGAUUCAACAGAUUACGCAUGUAUUGAACCGGAUGGUUGUAGUGCGGAGGCAGGUAGCGAAAACAAAAUUGAAGAAGAAACUGAAGCUAUUGAGCCACAUCGGUUUGAACCGUAUGCAAGCGAAACCGACGAAAACGACACGACAGCCAGCGACACGGGAGAAAGCGAGGACGAAUUCGGCGAUCGCCUUCUAACCAACGAUUGGUAUGUGUUUGUUUGGCAUUAAAGGAAACUAACAAUUAUGAACUAGGUUUAUAGCAUAUGAAAUACAUUUGGCAACAACAUGCACUUUGAGAGUGCAGACAGCCCAGUUUUCAUCAAUUAAUAUAUUCUGUAGACAUACCCUCAUCCACUCUCUUUUCCUGGGGGUCUGGUGGCAGAUUUCUUUGACUUUAUCGUUGGAAAUGCAUCUGCUUUGAGUGUCGCAGGAUAUCCACACAUUCUUGCCAUCUCUGUCGUAGCAUAGCUUUCGUCGGUAAAGUGUGCGGAACAAACGUCCAAUUUCUUGCCACUUUCGCAUCUUUGGGCCACUGGUGCAACUUGAAUCCGUCCCUGUUCGUGUUGUUACACCCUCCGACAACACACCGACGAGGCAUGAUGUCUCCAAGGUACGGAAAACAGUCGAAAAAACGGAAAAUAACAGAGCUGAUUUGACUCGGUGUUUGUAAUGUGUUUGAGAAAAUGGCGGAUUGCUUCCCGAUGUGACGUCACAACGUGACGUCAUCGCUCCGAGAGCGAAUAAUAGAAAGGCGUUUAAUUCGCCAAAAUUCACCCAUUUAGAGUUCGAAAAUCGGUUAAAAAAAUAUAUGGUAUACAACAUCAACAACAUCAAGGUAUAUAUUGACGCUUACAUAGGUCUGGUGAUAAUGUUCCCCUUUAAGACGAGACUUAAGGAGGCAGAGUGUUCCAGAGCUUAGGGCCGACCACAGAGAAGGCCCUGUCUCCCCUGGUUUUAAGUCUGGUCUUGGGCACCACAAGCUGGAGCUGGCUCUGGGACCUCAGAGCGCGCUCAGGAGUGUAAAUUUGGAUGAGGUCCGGAGAUAUAUUGAGGUGCCAGUCCAUGUAAAGCUUUAAAAACAAACAGCAAGGUUUUAAAACCAAUUCUAAAAUGAACAGGGAGGCAGUGCAAAGUCUGAAGAAUUGGGGUUAUAUGCUGGCGUUUCCUUGCCCCUGUUAAGAGUCGUGCUGCCGCGUUCUGGACUAACUGCCACCGGGAGAGAGCUUUUUGGCUAAUGCCAGCAUAAAGUGCAUUGCAGUGGUCCAGAAAGCGGGACGGCUGGGGAGCUCAACUUGAAUGUGUCAUUUUGGAAGUGUAGGCAGCCUGUAAGUAAUUAUUUUUUAUUUUAUUUUUUUUAUUUUGCACAAGAAGGAGCUCAGCGUUGGUCCAAUAAACUUCUAGCCGUCCCACUCCCUCCACCACGCCAGUGCAUUGUCGCUCCGCCAUUGUGGCCCCGCCAUUGUGGUCCCGCCAUUGUGGCCCCGCCAUUGUGGCCCCGCCAUUGUGAGAGCUCGCUCAGGCACCCCAGAGAGCAUCAAUGGCGCCGAUAACUUAAAGAUGCUUCCAGCACGGGCUGUCACUCCCCGUAUUGUUGGCUCUGACAGCGCCUCUGAUGAGGACAUUGUGAGGGGACAGACUCGCCACGGCAGGAAGUACACGUGUUUAGGGGCGGGGGGGCUGUGGGGGUGUUUUUGUUUGGAUCACAGUCUGCCAUCAAAGUGACUUGCACAUUUUGGUUGCUCUUUCUCUUUGACUUUUAACUAAAAAUGCAUACAAAAAUAGUUUUAAAAAAAAAUAAAAAUAAAAAAAAAGAUUACAUAGUAUCAAAUAUUGUAGGUAUUUUUGAAAUGGAAAUCGGGAUUUGUCGUUGGAGAGAUUGAACUGUCACUCAGACAUGUCCCAUUUAUCACAUGUGGAAACGCUAAAUGUGCAGUGGAAUGUAUGUUCCCUUCAUUUGUGACGCCUCAUUGUAAGGCUGUCAUAUAGGACUCCUCCCAACAAAUAUUAACAAUAGAAAUAACAAGGUUUGUAUUAUAAAAGGUCAUUAUUAUACAAGGUCAUUAUUAUACAAGGUCAUUAUUAUGCAAGGUCUCAAUCUGAUCCCAAUCCACUUUAUUUAUAUAGCACAUUUCAGAAAACAAUAGAAGUUUCACUAUAUAAAUACAUUUUGAUUGAUUGAUUGAUUGAUUGAUUGAUUGAUUGAUUGAUUGAUUGAUUGAUUUGCAUGCGCAGUGCAAUAAAGAGAAAACAAAGGAAGUUGACCGGGAGGAAGUCACUACUACUACAAAAUAAAAGUCGCCACACUUUAAAAUUAGCAUUUUUUUUACGUGAAAAUAAAAUUAAAGAAAAUCAAAUGUAUUAAUGGAUGCAUAUAGUGUGAUGUAUUUGGGAGGGUUCUAAUCUUUUAAUGGCUGUUAAAGGCCUACUGAAAUGCAAUUUUCUUAUUCAAACGGGGAUAGCAGGUCCAUUCUAUGUGUCAUACUUGAUCAUUUUGCGAUAUUGCCAUAUUUUUGCUGAAAGGAUUUAGUAGAGAACAUCAACGAUAAAGUUCGCAACUUUUGGUCGCUGAUAAAAAAGCCUUGCCUGUACCGGAAGUAGCAGACGAUAUGCGCGUGACGUCACAGGUUGUGGAGCUCCUCACAUCCGCACAUUGUUUACAAUCAUGGCCACCGGCAGCGAGAGCGAUUCGGACCGAGAAAGCGACGAUUUCCCCAUUAAUUUGAGCGAGGAUGAAAGAUUUGUGGAUGAGGAAAGUGAGAGUGAAGGACUAGAGGGCAGUGGGAGCGAUUCAUAUAGGGAAGAUGCUGUGAGAGGCGGGUGAGACCUGAUAUUCAGCUGGGAAUGACUAAAACAGUAAAUAAACACAAGACAUAUAUAUACUCUAUUAGCCACAACACAACCAGCCUUAUAUUUAAUAUGCCACAAAUUAAUCCCGCAUAACAAACACCUCCCCCCUCCCGUCCAUAUAACCCGCCAAUACAACUCAAACACCUGCACAACACACUCAAUCCCACAGCCCAAAGUACCGUUCACCUCCCCAAAGUUCGUACAGCACAUAUAUUUCCCCAAAGUCCCCAAAGUUACGUACGGGACAUGCACAUAGCGGCACGCACGUACGGGCAAGCGAUCAAAUGUUUGGAAGCCGCAGCUGCAUGCGUACUCACAGUACCGUGUCUGCGCAUCCAACUCAAAGUCCUCCUGGUAAGAGUCUCUGUUGUCCCAGUUCUCCUCAGGCCAAUGGUAAAGCUUGACUGUCAUCUUCCGGGAAUGUAAACAAUGAAACACCGGCUGUGUUUGUGUUGCUGCAGUCGGCCGCAAUACACCGCUUCCCACCUACAGCUUUCUUCUUUGCUGUCUCCAUUGUUCAUUGAACAAAUUGCAAAAGAUUCACCAACACAGAUGUCCAGAAUACUGUGGAAUUUUGCGAUGAAAACAGACGACUUAAUAGCUGGCCACCAUGCUGUCCCAAAAUGUCCUCUACAAUCCGUGACGUCACGCGCUGACGUCAUCAUACCAAGACAUUUUCAGCAGGAUAUUUCGCGCGAAAUUUAAAAUUGCUGUAUAUAGUGUAAUAUAUUUGGGAGGGUUCUAAUCUUUUAAUGGCUGUUAAAUAGAUGAGACAAGGACAUCCGCGUGGAUCUACAUGAGCUUUAUUUUUCAACUCACAAGUAAGCAAAAUGCAACACGGCGUCAAUUCCGGUCUUUCGAAAUUCACUAUUUCUUCGGAAUCAAAAUUUGUAUUCAUAUAUUACAUAUAGACUAUUAUUUGUGCACUAUUGACUAGUGAUGCACCGGAAAUUCGGUCGUCUUAAAUAGACUUUACUCACCGAAACCGGAUGUUGUGAUGAAGCAUCCACUUCCGCUGGCUAACGGAAAAAUCACAUAUGGGUCGCAUUGCGUUUGGACUGAAGUCACAUUUGAAAAGAUCAGAUUCCAAUUGGAUUUGGACUACACACACACACACACACACACACACACACACACACACACACACACACACACACACACACACACACACACACACACUCUGUCUCUCUCGCACACACACGCAAACACAUGCGCACACACACAAAUUCUUGUAUUUCUUACCUUCUUGAGACCUCCAAAAAAUGCCUACCUCUUUAGGACCACCCUUUCUAGAUAUAUAAAGAUUUGUAUUUACAACAUGAAUAAUAUAUACAUACUAAGCUUGUUGUGAAAAAUGAGUUGGAAUUUCACAAGAAAAAGGUCACAAUUUCACAAGAAAAACUUUUUAGGCAGUAUUAUAAUAAAAGUAAUUUUACUCAGCGCAAGUCAAAAUUUUACAAGAAAAACUGAACAUUUGUGCAAUAUUAUGAUAAAAGUUGGAAUUUUACUCAAUAACAAAUUUUACAAGGAAAGCUUAAAAUUUUGGCAAUUUAAUGAAAAAAGUUGUAAUUUUACUGGCAAAAGUCACAAUUUUAUAGGAAAACUUAAAUAGUUUGUCAAUAUUAUAAUAGAUAUCAGAAUUUUGCUUGGCAAAAGUAUGACAAAAUUCAUUAUUUUACUCAAAAAAUGUCACUAUAUUACAAGAACAACAAAGAAUAUUGGCAAUAUUGUGAUAAAAGUCAGAAUUUUAUAUGACAAAUGUUACCAUUUUGCAUUAAAAAUAAAUAAUUGUACAUAAAAAAGUAAUUAUGUUACGAGAAAAUAUUGCAUUAUUACAGAAACAGAAAGAAUAUGAGAAAUUGCUCCCAAUUUUAUAAGAAAAAAGUCGACACAUUGUGAGAAAGACUGCUUUUAGUGAUUUUUUUUUUUCUGAAUUUUUGGUUUUUAAAUGAUUUUUAAUCUUCAUUAUUUACUUUAAGUUAUUACAGUAUGUCUCUAUAUACAUAUUUAUUUAUUUAUUUUAAUUCAUUUUGGCCAAAGGGGGCGCAUUUAAAUUUCUUACACACACUUGUUAUUACAUAUGUUGGCCAGAGAGGGAGCACUUCAAAUUAUUACACACACUUGUUAUUUCAUAUGUUGGCCAGAGGGGGAGCACGUUUAAAUCCGACACACAGUCAAUUUGAAAAAUCCCUCCUUUUUGGGACCACCCUAAUUUUGAUAGAUUUCACCACCAGAGGUGCAAAUGAGAUCUCUAUUUUUAGUUUUUUGUAAUGUGCUUAAGGCCGAUGACAAAGGAGUCACGGACCACAGAUGGCCCCCGUGCCGGACUUUGGGCAACACAGCUGUAGAAGCUAACUGUUAAUGGCCACUAUAGUCUCAGUAACGUAGUGUAUUUGUUCAUUCUUUGGUCACAAAUGGGACGCGGGUUGUCUUAUAUCAGCAACGGAAUUCGUAAAAUCAGCUGUUCACCUGGCGGGUUUUUUCGGGGAUGAAUAGGAAAGUCCUUCUCUAGCUGCCGUCUUGUUUUAUCGUGUAUUGCUACCUUUGCCCUUGUCAAUGUUAACUUUUGUAUGCACAUUAAAUCACAAAAAAUCCUGACUUUGGAGCAAUGUUCACGGACUCUAGUAUUUGGCUCUCUAGUAGAUGCAAUGGUUUUCCGUAUCGAGACCAUGAUUUCGGUCCUAACUUGUUCACCGGUCCUCAUAUGGAAGGUACUUUUCCUUGUUGAUGUCUCAAGAAGGGUAGAAAUACAAGAACAUACACACACACAUUUACAUUUAAAAAAAUAUAUAGGUGAUUUUGUUGUUCCCACAUGAGAACAAUGUGAGAACGUUGUGUGUGCAAAGCAUUGAUUUCCUAUGUCAAUACCCUUCUCUGGGAUAUGAACUUUUCCUCCGUGGCAGUAAUGAUAUAGGUGUUUACUUUUAUGAAAUAUUUGACAGCAGUUCUGUGAUGGGUUUUGGACUGAGACUGGACUAGUCUGUGUUGUACCUCGCCUACGUGAGCAUGAAAAGACUGCAAGAACAGAGCAGAUAUGAAUGAAAAGAUAUUGAAGGAGGGAUUGCCGUCCUAGCACUGUUUGUGUGGCAGUGUGUGUGUGUAUGUGUGUGUGUGUGUGUGUGUGUGUGCACACGCGUGGGUGUGUGUUCUUUUCAGGUCCUAAGAGCUCUUAUCCCCGAGCAGUAAAAUAUAGAGCACAACACUCCAAGACCUUGACGGUCAUUUCAUCUUCCUCCAAAUGUCACAAUUUCACAGACCUUUGUUGCAUCCAGCCUGAGCUUGUGUGUGUGUGUGUGUGUGUGUGUGUGUGUGUGUGUGUGUGUGUGUGUGUGUGUGUGUGUGUGUGUGUGUGUGUGUGUGUGAGAGAGAGAGAGAGAGAGAGAGAGAGAGAGAGAGAGAGAGAGAGAGCGAGAGAGAAAUGGGUAAGGACAGGUAAGGACAAAUCACGCAAAUGUUAAUUUCAUAAUUGUCAACCUUGCUUUUUUGCAUCAACAGCAAAAGUCAUAUCAAGGUACCUUUUAUAUCCUCCUGAGAACCAUGCGCGUCCUCUGCAGUGGACAUUUUUGGUCUAUUUCUUAAUAGCCCUGUUAUGCAAAACACAAAUGUCCACUGUAGCGGACACUGAAAUCAAGGUAAACAAAAUGCAAGUUCUUAUUUUUCGCUAACAGGACAGUUGUACAGUAUUUACAAUAACAAAAAGCUAAAUAAUGUACGUUUCUCAUUUUAAUAGUAUAUUUGAACAGGGACCAUGCGCAAGUUUUAGUUACAAAGCUAGUUUUGUCAUAUAUAUAUAUUUUUAAAUCCAGACGAAUUCAAUUAAUAUUGAAUAUCUAAAAUCAAGGAUUAUGUUUAUUGACUAACUGUUGCUUGCAACGUGACCCCAGGAUACAGAGACAGGAGACGGUGCGCAGGUAAUACGAUUCAUUUAGCACAGCAACAACAAAUAGUGCAGCUAAAGAGUGCACAGGGAGAAAACACCCGUUUCAGUAGCAUAGCCACUAAACAAUAAAAGACGACGUAGAAGAACAGGGCGGGCAUAUAAAACAGUCCUGAUUGGCAACCAGGGACAAGUGUGUCCUGAUUGCCGAUCAGGGGCAGGUGAGGGGGGCCUCGCUCAGGUCAGAGAAGAAGUGGCAGGAAAUGAAAACACACAUGAAGUGGAAACAGGAGCGCUGGAACAGAAAUAACACCAAGCAAAGGAAAAUAAACACAAAAUAAUAAUUUUUUCCAACCAGUCUUUAUAACGAUAGUAUAUCCAAGUAACCAGUAUACCAAAAUCUUCUCUUGACAUUAAUCUUUAGGAAUUAAUUUAGUUUGAACAUCUACUGGCUGACAGUUUGCUUCACGUUUACCAGGAGGGAGGAGACUCAGGGUUUUUUUCAGGAGAACCUGACAGCUAGCAGGUUAGCUUCAGAGUUUGAUGUAUAUCUUGUUUUAGAAUAGAAAACCCCUCAGUUUUUUUCAUCUCAGGCUUUACAUACCUCAGGCAUGUGAAAUGUCCAUGAAAAAGCGGAAAUCCGCAUUUUUAAACAGUAAUUUUUGCGUAAAUUAUCCUCUGCAUUUGACCCAUCACCUUGUUCCACCCCCUGGGAGGUGAGGGGAGCAGUGAGCAGCAGCAGUGGCCACGCUCAGAAAUCUUUUGGUGAUUUAACCCCCAAUUCCAACCCUUGAUGCUGAGUGCCAAGCAGGGAGGUAAUGGGUGCCAUUUUUAUAGUCUUUGGUAUGACUCGGUCGGGGUUUGAACUCACGACAUUCCAGUCUCAGGGCGGACAAUCUAACCACUAGGCCACUGAGGUACCCGCAGGUACUCGCUGUUCCUCUUGCCUAACCAGGUAACUAGCAAACUUGUUUUGGUGCUCCAGAAUAAAUAGAGGAGAACAAGUUAAGAUCAUGGUUGAGAGCACCAAAAUAAGCUUGCUCGUCAGCAUCGUCGAGCGAGCUUACUUGCUGUCGCCUCCAACGUUGACGGCUGUCCACUUUGCUGCUGAUCAUAUUUGGAUGAUUACAAUCCGAACACAGUUCCUUCGAAACCAGUUGUAGUUCUAGAGCAGGGGUGUCCAAACUUUUUGACUUGGUGUCCGCAUUGGGCUAAAAAAAAAGCAGACUGCGUGUAAAGUGACUAAUAUAUGUCAUGUCUGUGUGAUCAUGUUUUGUUUUAGUCAUGUUCGGUUUUGUUUUUGGACUUUUUGUGCACUUUUGUUUGUUUUGUCACCAUAGCAACCAUUAGUUUCACCUGGUUCACAUCUUCAUGUCACGCACCUGUCUCACAUUUUCACAUUUUGAGUCACGCACCUGCUGUCACUAAUCAUGUCACUAUUAUUUAAGCUUCCAGUUGCCAGGCUGUCUUUCUGGCGACAUCACACUUUAUCAUCACUCUGCUUCAUGCCAUGUUCACAGUUCCUUGCCAAGUAAGUUUUUGUUUCAUGUUCAUAGGUUUUUGCCUUUUUGCAAGUUUUGUUUCAGUAGUCAAGUUUGUUCUCCGCCUUUGUGCACGCCUUUUGUUUUUAUAGCCAAGUUGUUUUACCUCCGCUGUGAGCGCCUUUUGUUUAUACCUUUUUUUGAGCUUUUUGAGUUAAAAUAUUAAACAUGUACUCACAUUCACGUCUUGCCCGAGCCAACUUUCCGUUGCAUUCUGGGAAA
Nerophis lumbriciformis (worm pipefish) is the source of this 12311-nucleotide non-coding RNA. The record is from RefSeq and is a predicted model, not a curated record. NCBI's taxonomy places the organism in Eukaryota, Metazoa, Chordata, Actinopteri, Syngnathiformes, Syngnathidae.